GAGGCGAUGAAGGGCGUGCUAAUCUGCGAUAAGCGCCGGUAAGGUGAUAUGAACCGUUAUAACCGGCGAUACCCGAAUGGGGAAACCCAGUGUGUUUCGACACACUAUCAUUAACUGAAUCCAUAGGUUAAUGAGGCGAACCGGGGGAACUGAAACAUCUAAGUACCCCGAGGAAAAGAAAUCAACCGAGAUUCCCCCAGUAGCGGCGAGCGAACGGGGAGGAGCCCAGAGCCUGAAUCAGCAUGUGUGUUAGUGGAAGCGUCUGGAAAGGCGCGCGAUACAGGGUGACAGCCCCGUACACAAAAGCGCAUGUGCUGUGAGCUCGAUGAGUAGGGCGGGACACGUGGUAUCCUGUCUGAAUAUGGGGGGACCAUCCUCCAAGGCUAAAUACUCCUGACUGACCGAUAGUGAACCAGUACCGUGAGGGAAAGGCGAAAAGAACCCCGGCGAGGGGAGUGAAAAAGAACCUGAAACCGU
RNAcentral lists this ribosomal RNA (477 nucleotides) under Salmonella enterica subsp. enterica serovar Eastbourne. Its description in RNAcentral is "partial 23S ribosomal RNA". It matches the Rfam family "Bacterial large subunit ribosomal RNA", at positions 43 to 559 of the family's 2925-position model. The record is from RNAcentral. Lineage: Bacteria; Pseudomonadati; Pseudomonadota; Gammaproteobacteria; Enterobacterales; Enterobacteriaceae.